CAAACAACAAACAAACAAAACAAACAAACACACAAAAAACAUGGUAAAUGCAGCUUAUGGGGCACAGAAAUCAGCCUGAACUGAAUCCCACAACCUGAACAAAAAAGUGAGCACAGGCCUGCUGAUAACAAGAGUUCCAGCAGAAGCUGUGGAAGACUGAAAAAUGGCCCCAAAGAUACACAGAUAUGGGCACAUUUGCAGAAAGUGCAACAGAAUGAGCUAAGUAAUGCCCAAGCUUUCUGGCCAGAAGAUAGAAGAG
This 259-nucleotide long non-coding RNA is filed under the name Homo sapiens (human). RNAcentral describes it as "HSALNT0325784". The record is from RNAcentral. Lineage: Eukaryota; Metazoa; Chordata; Mammalia; Primates; Hominidae.